This is a non-coding RNA of Dipodomys ordii (Ord's kangaroo rat), 65 nucleotides long. NCBI's taxonomy places the organism in Eukaryota, Metazoa, Chordata, Mammalia, Rodentia, Heteromyidae. The record is from Rfam.
GGUGGCUCAGAGGUAGAGUGCUUGCCUUGCAUGCAUGAGGACCUGGGUUCGAUUCCUCAGCACCA